GACGAACGCUGGCGGCGUGCUUAACACAUGCAAGUCGUACGGUAAGGCCCUUUCGGGGGUACACGAGUGGCGAACGGGUGAGUAACACGUGAGUAACCUGCCCACAACUUUGGGAUAACGCUAGGAAACUGGUGCUAAUACUGGAUAUGUGCUCCUGCUGCAUGGUGGGGGUUGGAAAGCUCCGGCGGUUGUGGAUGGACUCGCGGCCUAUCAGCUUGUUGGUGGGGUAGUGGCCUACCAAGGCGGCGACGGGUAGCCGGCCUGAGAGGGUGACCGGCCACAUUGGGACUGAGAUACGGCCCAGACUCCUACGGGAGGCAGCAGUGGGGAAUAUUGCACAAUGGGCGCAAGCCUGAUGCAGCAACGCCGCGGGCGGGAUGACGGCCUUCGGGUUGUAAACCGCUUUCAGCAGGGACGAAGCUUUUUGUGACGGUACCUGCAGAAGAGGCACCGGCUAACUACGUG
RNAcentral lists this ribosomal RNA (465 nucleotides) under uncultured bacterium. Its description in RNAcentral is "partial 16S ribosomal RNA". It matches the Rfam family "Bacterial small subunit ribosomal RNA", at positions 28 to 507 of the family's 1533-position model. The record is from RNAcentral.